This 253-nucleotide ribosomal RNA is filed under the name uncultured bacterium. RNAcentral describes it as "partial 16S ribosomal RNA". It matches the Rfam family "Bacterial small subunit ribosomal RNA", at positions 524 to 776 of the family's 1533-position model. The record is from RNAcentral.
UACAGAGGUCCCGAGCGUUGUUCGGAUUCAUUGGGCGUAAAGGGUGCGUAGGUGGCGCCGUAAGUCAGGUGUGAAAUUUCGGAGCUUAACUCCGAAACUGCAUUUGAUACUGCGGUGCUUGAGGACUGGAGAGGAGACUGGAAUUUACGGUGUAGCGGUGAAAUGCGUAGAUAUCGUAAGGAAGACCAGUGGCGAAGGCGGGUCUCUGGACAGUUCCUGACGCUGAGGCACGAAGGCCAGGGGAGCAAACGGG